RNAcentral lists this ribosomal RNA (429 nucleotides) under Adoratopsylla intermedia copha. RNAcentral describes it as "partial 16S ribosomal RNA". The record is from RNAcentral. Lineage: Eukaryota; Metazoa; Arthropoda; Insecta; Siphonaptera; Hystrichopsyllidae.
UGUAAGAUAAAUUGGUCGAACAGACCAUAAUUUUAAAAUUCUACACCUAAAAAUAUCUUAAUCCAACAUCGAGGUCGCAAACUAUAUUAUCAAUACGAUCUCUCUAAUAUAAUAACGCUGUUAUCCCUUAAGUAACUUAAUCUUUUAAUCAUAAAUUAUGGAUCAAAUCAAUUAUUAAUGAAAAAAAGUUAUAUAAAUUUUCCUAUCACCCCAAUAAAAUAUUAUAUAAAGUUUUAAAGGGUCUUCUCGUCCCAUAAAACUAUUUAAACUUUUUAAUUUAAAAAUAAAAUUCUAAUAUUUAUAUAUAAUAAAGUUAAUAUUUCAUUCAUUCAUUCAUACAAGCUUUCAAUUAAAAAACAAUUGAUUAUGCUACCUUUGUACAGUCAAAAUACUGCAGCCAUUAUCAGUGGGCAGAAUAGACUUAAAAUU